Molecule: small RNA, 132 nt
Filed under: Klebsiella pneumoniae
Lineage: Bacteria; Pseudomonadati; Pseudomonadota; Gammaproteobacteria; Enterobacterales; Enterobacteriaceae
Also listed under: 1 other name
Description: RtT sRNA
Rfam family: RtT RNA
About the family: This family represents a bacterial cis-regulatory element known as RtT RNA. The exact function of RtT is unknown although it is thought that it may be involved in changing the cellular response in relation to amino acid starvation.
Source: RNAcentral
UAUUCUGCCCCACGGGGAAGGAUGAGAAGCUUCGACCAAGGUUCGACUCGAGCGAAGCGAGAGAACGUUGCCGCAGGCAACGGCCCGAAGGGCGAAGCGCUUUAGCGCCGAGUAAUUCUUCCCCCACCACUG